UCUGGAUGUGAAAUGAAACACAAUGAAACUGUUUAAUGAUUCAUUGGAAGUUUUAAGAUGACAGGACAGUUUGUUGUUUGCUUCUUGUAGAUGGUAAAUAUGAGGAAUUUUCUCAGUUGUUUGGAUUUUAUCUUCUUUUAGGAGACAACGUAGCAACACCACCACCAACAACUACUAAGUUACCAACAACAACCAAAAGAACAACAAAAGCAACAACCAGACCAACAACAACAACUAAAUUACCAACAACAACCAAAACAACAACUAAAGCAACCAAAGCAACAACCAGACCAAAAACAACAACAACCAAAGCAUCAACCAAAGCAACAACCAGACCAACAACAACAACAGACCCAACAGCAGCAGAAACAAGCCUAAAUGCAGGUUGUUGGAUCAGGUUCAUCUUUGUUCUUGUGGGUGUAGCAGCACUCUCAAUGAUUGUUGUGUCAGUCAACAUUUGGACCAGAACAAAAGGUUCCAAAACACAUCGUGGCAAGAAGCAGCACAGUGAUGAAGAUGAUGAUGUGGUGACGUAUGAAAAUGCUGAAGAUGUUUCUGCUCCUGUUAGAUUCCACAGAUCAACAAAUCAGCUGUGAAAAUAUUUCUUAUCUGCAGUUAUUUCAAACACAGCAGCUGGAUUUAAACAUGAUUGAACAGGAAAUGAGAACAGAGAAAAACAGAAUCUGCUUUACUGCUGCAACAGGACUAGAAGUCUGUUUUAUCUGAUCAGUAAAGACAAUAAAACAACAAACUAUCAACACAAUUAUUGAAGUAUUUUCUUAUUUUGGUUCAAUAUUUUGCUUGUCUUGUGUUAUUUUUUUUAUCACCAAUAGAACUCACUGCAAUUUACUUUGAUGUGGUUUUUAUUGUUGCU
Amphiprion ocellaris (clown anemonefish) is the source of this 874-nucleotide long non-coding RNA. RefSeq lists it as uncharacterized. The transcript is spliced from 4 exons. Lineage: Eukaryota; Metazoa; Chordata; Actinopteri; Pomacentridae. The record is from RefSeq and is a predicted model, not a curated record.